This 577-nucleotide ribosomal RNA is filed under the name Burkholderia sp. UFLA4-36. RNAcentral describes it as "bacterial SSU rRNA". It matches the Rfam family "Bacterial small subunit ribosomal RNA", at positions 69 to 641 of the family's 1533-position model. The record is from RNAcentral. Lineage: Bacteria; Pseudomonadati; Pseudomonadota; Betaproteobacteria; Burkholderiales; Burkholderiaceae.
GCAGCACGGGGGCAACCCUGGUGGCGAGUGGCGAACGGGUGAGUAAUACAUCGGAACGUGUCCUGUAGUGGGGGAUAGCCCGGCGAAAGCCGGAUUAAUACCGCAUACGCUCUACGGAGGAAAGGGGGGGAUCUUAGGACCUCCCGCUACAGGGGCGGCCGAUGGCAGAUUAGCUAGUUGGUGGGGUAAAGGCCUACCAAGGCGACGAUCUGUAGCUGGUCUGAGAGGACGACCAGCCACACUGGGACUGAGACACGGCCCAGACUCCUACGGGAGGCAGCAGUGGGGAAUUUUGGACAAUGGGGGCAACCCUGAUCCAGCAAUGCCGCGUGUGUGAAGAAGGCCUUCGGGUUGUAAAGCACUUUUGUCCGGAAAGAAAACGCCGUGGUUAAUACCCGUGGCGGAUGACGGUACCGGAAGAAUAAGCACCGGCUAACUACGUGCCAGCAGCCGCGGUAAUACGUAGGGUGCAAGCGUUAAUCGGAAUUACUGGGCGUAAAGCGUGCGCAGGCGGUCCGCUAAGACAGAUGUGAAAUCCCCGGGCUUAACCUGGGAACUGCAUUUGUGACUGGCGGGC